Long non-coding RNA from Syngnathoides biaculeatus (alligator pipefish), 3320 nucleotides. RefSeq lists it as uncharacterized. NCBI's taxonomy places the organism in Eukaryota, Metazoa, Chordata, Actinopteri, Syngnathiformes, Syngnathidae. The transcript is spliced from 2 exons. The record is from RefSeq and is a predicted model, not a curated record.
UAUUGCUCCAUCUUGUGAUCAUAUCGAUUAUUCAUUUUUUUUUCCCCCCAACUGAUCAUCCCCAAAUAUCCUGAUAUUGUAAAGAUCCUUCCAGCCAUCCAUCCUUCAUCCAUCCCAUCCGUCAUUCCAUUUGUCCAUCCAUCAUCCAUGUACCCCUACGUCGUUGUCCAUCUAUCCCCUUUAUCAUUCAUCUUUCAUUGUCCUUUUUGUCCUUCAUCCAUCUGUUGUGUCAUCCAUUUCUAUACCUCGUGUUCCAUCCAUUUGUCUUUUAUUCAUCUCUCCAGCUUGCUAUCUUUCUUUUAUCUGCCCAUCUCUAUACUGUCUCCAUCCAUCUCUUGCUAGACAUUUGAGGUAAACAGGAGGAGGAGGAGGAGGAGGAAGUGGAAGAGUGGCGCCAUCAGAGGAAAAGGGUGUCUUUUCCUUGCCUGAAAUAAAAUCCAAAAAGAAGAAAACCCAGGCGGCCCUGACCUCUUACCUCCGGUUUGAUGUUUUCCUCCCCUCGUAGACGGGAAAAGAGAGAGAGGUCGUUUGACAUCGGGACUGCAACUUAACCGUUUUCAUUUUUGCUUCCAUCAACUGGCGCGCAAAAAGUAAAUUGUGGGGUUUUCAAACAAGGUGGAAGGUGGGAAGUGUUCCCUUGUUCAAAGAGGAGAAGAAACACUUCAAUUUUUUGGUUUUAAAAAUUGCAAUUUAUUGGGACAAAUUCCAUGACACGCUCCCUAAACCUCAGGAACAAGUAAUUCAAUACUCUCUUGUCUUCUUUUUGGAGAGGUCAAAUAUUUGGUGGUUAUUAUGACAAACGGUCUUCCAAAAGAAAAAUGCUUUUUUUUUUUGUUUUUUUUUUUGCAACAGGACUCAAAACUGUAAUUUUCAAAGGUGAUUCAAGGUCUGCAGCUCGGUGAGCAAACGGUUCGAGUGACGGCUCACAGUUGUGAGGACCGGGUUUCAAUGGCGACCCCACCUGCGCGGAGUUAGCAUGUUUUCCCCGUGCCCGCGUGGCUUUUCUCUGGGUGGGCACUCCGCUUUCCUGCCACAUCCCAAAAACAUUCUCGCAUUAAUUGGGGAAUCUAAAUCGGUAACGAUUGUGUUUGUCCCGAUGACUGGCGACCAGUUCAGGGCGUACCCCGCCCGCCUCCUGCCUGUUGACAGGUGGGAUAGGCUCCUGCACGCCCCGCGACCCUUGUGAGGAUCAGCGGCGUAGAUAAUCAAUGGCUGGGUAGAUUUAAAGUCUAGUUAGCGCGAGAGCAAUCACGUGAUUCCUUCACGACAGAAAGCACGAGUUAUUGAAAAAUAAAAGACGCAGAGAGAAUGGAAACGAUGUAAAUUUAUGGGCAAAGAAUAAUUGCACUUUAUCUCCAGUUGGAAAAAUAAAAGCCCUUUAAAAAAAAAAAAAAGUCAGUCCCCACGCCCUCCCCGAUAUUUCUUUCUUUUAUUGUUUUUAUUUAUUACAUUUCAAUGCCAAAUGUUACUGACGUAUUCCUUGGAUUUGAAAACUAUGACGUCUUUGGGUGGCUCGAGCGCUGUUGGUGGAAAAAGGUCAGGUGACUCGUCGGCCUCGCAGACCCGCGAGCUCAACGACGGGGUGGACUCGACUCGCUAACUCGAACCCAUUUUGGACACAAAGGCGCACUUAACGCCGCUUCUCCGCAGAUGCAGCGUCGGGAGGUUAAAAAACAAAAAAAAAAAAACAACAACACAGAGGACGCAAUUAAAAAAAAAAAAAAAAAGCCAAGACAGGACGCGUGAGACGGACGCAAGGAAAAAGGACAUCCUCGGCCACUCCGGACUUCAAGUGUCGUACGUAAGUGACGUUUCCGCGGGCUUGACUUCCUGGAUUCGAGUUGAGAAGGACAAAAACAACAACGACGACGACGACGGCAGCCUCGUCCUUUUAAACGUUCAAAAAUGGAUUUUCUUGAUGUGAAGCAGUUUGAACAAAGGGCUGCAAUAUUGGGACAGUGUAGCUCCACCCACCGACAUAUCAGAACGGGAUUCACAUGGCCGUAUUUGAACAGUAUAGAUACGCUGAUGUUAUAUCAGUACAGUAUCGAUUUGCCUACAUCAGAUGUCCGUACGAGAUUAAUAUGCAAAUAUUGCUACUUUAUUAAUACGACGGCAUCAAAUAUUGAUACGGUAUUGCUCGGCCGAUUAUCAGAUAUUGAUCAAAAUAUCGAUACGCCGGCAUCAGCCACCUGUACUGUUAUCACUCAACCGACGUCAGAUAUGGGUACGUACGUUAUCUAUACGUCAGCGAUCAGUACGGCAUAUACUACGCUGACAUCAGAUAUCGGCACCGUACAGCUACGCCAAUAUCGGGUAUCGGUACAAUUUAAGUAUGCCGACCAGUACUUCGUUGACAGCCGUCACUGCGUAUCGGUACAGUAUCCAUUCGCAAAUACUGCACGUGUUGAUACAUCAACGUUUGUUCGAGAUGUUGUGAAUUGUUUUAAUAGUACCAAAGGGUGGCAUGCUUGGCGUCUGCCUCACAGUUGUGAGGACCGGGGUUCAAAUCCCGGCCCCGCCUGUGCCGACUCUGCACGUUCUCCCCCUUGGCUGCCGAGUGUGGCUUUUGUCCUCCGACAUCUCCAAAACACGCACGGUGGAUUCAUUGAUGAGUCGAUAUUGCCCCGUUGAUUUUUUUUUUUUUUUUUUUUUCGUUUUGUAUGUGCCCUUCCGAUUGGUCGGGAACCCGUCCUGGGAGGGGCUCCGGCACUCUCGCGACCCUUGUGGGGAUAAGCCACUCAGAGAAUGAAUAGCAGAGUAUUAUGAAAAACAUCCAUAAUCAUUUUAAUGAUCUUUCUUUUGUUUUCAUGAUAUCGCAAUUGAUCCUGUUUUUUUUUUUUUUUUUCUGCCAAUAUUUAUAUUAUUGCGUAUUAUCCUUGAUGGUCUUAAAUUAAGAGUUGCAAUGUUUUCAUGCACGUCACUGACACUUUUUCUUGUUUUUCUCGUGUUGUUCGGAUUUCACAUGCCAGGGAGUAUUUUUUUCGUUUUCGAGGUACCGAUGAAGCAAUGCUAACACUUUGCCGCAUAUAUUUGGCUGUCUGGUUUUGAAAUGGUGAAAAAUGUAUCAAUUCAGUUGGGAUUUCUCUCCCACCAGGGUUGAGUAACCCGCUCCGCUCACGUGACCUUGGCCUCAACCGAUUGUACGUCGCGGAUGUCUUAUUUUGAAGUAUGAAGGGGGAAAAAAAAAAUGGUUUCAAGCAAGUUUCUUUGAUCUGGACUGUUAAGGCAAGUGGCGGCAAAAGAACGCAGAAAUUGGAUUCGGGUGAUUAUACUGUAUUUGAGGCACCUAUUGGAAUAAUAAUAAUAAUAAUAAUAAU